This 855-nucleotide ribosomal RNA is filed under the name uncultured bacterium. RNAcentral describes it as "SSU rRNA". It matches the Rfam family "Bacterial small subunit ribosomal RNA", at positions 524 to 1381 of the family's 1533-position model. The record is from RNAcentral.
UACAUAGGGUGCAAGCGUUGUCCGGAAUUAUUGGGCGUAAAGAGCUCGUAGGUCGUUUGCCGCGUCGAUUGUGAAAAUCUGAGGCUCAACCUCAGACCUGCAGUCGAUACGGGCAAACUAGAGUGUGGUAGGGGAGACUGGAAUUCCUGGUGUAGCGGUGGAAUGCGCAGAUAUCAGGAGGAACACCAAUGGCGAAGGCAGGUCUCUGGGCCAUAACUGACACUGAGGAGCGAAAGCGCGGGGAGCGAACAGGAUUAGAUACCCUGGUAGUCCGCGCCGUAAACGAUGGGCACUAGCUGUGAGAGCCUUCCACGGUUCUCGCGACGCAGCAAACGCAUUAAGUGCCCCGCCUGGGGAGUACGAUCGCAAGAUUAAAACUCAAAGGAAUUGACGGGGCCCCGCACAAGCAGCGGAGCAUGCGGCUUAAUUCGACGCAACGCGAAGAACCUUACCAAGGCUUGACAUAUAGCGAAAAGUGGCAGAGAUGUCAUGUCCGCAAGGGCGCUAUACAGGUGGUGCAUGGUUGUCGUCAGCUCGUGUCGUGAGAUGUUGGGUUAAGUCCCGCAACGAGCGCAACCCUCGUUCUGUGUUACCAGCAUUCAGUUGGGGACUCACAGGAGACUGCCGGGGUCAACUCGGAGGAAGGUGGGGAUGACGUCAAAUCAUCAUGCCCCUUAUGUCUUGGGCUGCACGCAUGCUACAAUGGCCGGUACAAAGUGCUGCGAAAUCGUAAGAUUUAGCGAGUCACACAAAGCCGGUCUCAGUUCGGAUUGAGGUCUGCAACUCGACCUCAUGAAGUCGGAGUUGCUAGUAAUCGUAGAUCAGCAACGCUACGGUGAAUACGUUCCCGGGGCU